CCUACGGGAGGCUGCAGUGAGGAAUAUUGGUCAAUGGGCGGGAGCCUGAACCAGCAAAGUCGCGUGAAGGAAGAAGGUACUUAGUAUUGUAAACUUCUUUUGUCGGGGAACAAAGGCGGAGACGCGUCUCCGGAUGAGUGUACCCGAAGAAAAAGCAUCGGCUAACUCCGUGCCAGCAGCCGCGGUAAUACGGGGGAGGCGAGCGUUAACCGGAUUUAUUGGGGUUAAAGGGUGCGCAGGGGGGAGUACAAGGCAGCGGUAAAAUGUCGGGGCUCAAACCCGGCCGGCCGUUGACACUGGUUGUCUAGAGUUGGAGAGAAGUAUGCGGAAUUCGUGGUGUAGCGGUGAAAUGCAUAGAUAUCACGAAGAACUCCGAUUGCGAAGGCAGCAUACCGGCUCCAUACUGACGCUGAGGCACGAAAGCGUGGGGAUCGAACAGGAUUAGAUACCCCUGUAGUC
This 459-nucleotide ribosomal RNA is filed under the name uncultured bacterium. RNAcentral describes it as "partial 16S ribosomal RNA". It matches the Rfam family "Bacterial small subunit ribosomal RNA", at positions 338 to 795 of the family's 1533-position model. The record is from RNAcentral.